RNAcentral lists this long non-coding RNA (464 nucleotides) under Rattus norvegicus (Norway rat). RNAcentral describes it as "long non-coding RNA NONRATT005792". The record is from RNAcentral. Lineage: Eukaryota; Metazoa; Chordata; Mammalia; Rodentia; Muridae.
AAGAUUAGCCCCCAAAAAAAAAAAAAAAAAAAAAAAAAAAAAAAAAAAAAAAAGAUUAGCACCAGAAACACCAGAAAUAAAAAAUGGCAAGACUAUGAGGUGAUUAAAAUGCCAAAACCUUGAUUCCACAAGGCAUACAUAUAUCAAAGCAGCAUGUGGUAUACCAUUAAAUAUAUAGCUACAUAUAUGUGUAGGUAUAUAUACACACAUACCUUUAUAUACACACAUGUAAAUUUUACCUGUCAAAUUAGAAAAUUGAAUGGUGUGAGUUGCUCACAGCUAUAUAAUGAGGUCCUGGAUGAACACGCAGAACCUAAGGAGCACUGUAUACUACCUACAACUUACCUGAUACCAAAUUCAUGGUCAAGAAUCUGCCCUCUCCCCAGUAAUAUUACCAUUAUUGUAAAAACAAAAACAAAUCCAACAUUAAGGCAAAUAACUUCACUUUCAAAAACAAAAUGAAA